This 319-nucleotide ribosomal RNA is filed under the name uncultured eukaryote. RNAcentral describes it as "partial 18S ribosomal RNA". It matches the Rfam family "Eukaryotic small subunit ribosomal RNA", at positions 1470 to 1796 of the family's 1831-position model. The record is from RNAcentral.
CCCUUAGAUGUUCUGGGCUGCACGUGUGCUACAAUGGCGUUUCCAGCAAGUCUGCGAACCCGAGAGGGCCAGCGGAUCUUCGAAUUGGCGUCGUGAUCGGGACAGUCGAUUGCAAUUAUUUGACUCAAACGAGGAAUUCCUUGUAAUCGCGAUUCAUCAUAUCGCGCUGAAUACGUCCCUGCCCUUUGUACACACCGCCCGUCGCUCCUACCGAUUGAGCGAUCCGGUAAAUGUUUUGGAUUGGUGCCGGGGCGGCUAGCUGCCGGUCGCUACGAAAUUUUGUGAACCUUAUCGCUUAGAGGAAGGAAAAGUCGUAACA